Molecule: ribosomal RNA, 997 nt
Filed under: human gut metagenome
Description: bacterial LSU rRNA
Rfam family: Bacterial large subunit ribosomal RNA
Source: RNAcentral
GCCGUAACUAUAACGGUCCUAAGGUAGCGAAAUUCCUUGUCGGGUAAGUUCCGACCUGCACGAAUGGCAUAACGAUGGCCACACUGUCUCCUCCCGAGACUCAGUGAAGUUGAAAUGUUUGUGAUGAUGCAAUCUACCCGCGGCUAGACGGAAAGACCCCAUGAACCUUUACUGCAGCUUUGCAUUGAACUGUGAACCGAUUUGUGUAGGAUAGGUGGGAGGCAGAGAAGAGGCCACGCCAGUGGCCUUGGAGCCGACCUUGAAAUACCACCCUGAUUUGUUUGCGGUUCUAACCACGGACAGUGAUCCUGUCUUGGGACCGUGCAUGGUAGGCAGUUUGACUGGGGCGGUCUCCUCCUAAAGGGUAACGGAGGAGUACGAAGGUACGCUAGGUACGGUCGGAAAUCGUGCUGAUAGUGCAAUGGCAAAAGCGUGCUUGACUGCGAGAGCAACAACUCGAGCAGAUGCGAAAGCAGGUCAUAGUGAUCCGGUGGCUCUGAAUGGAAGGGCCAUCGCUCAACGGAUAAAAGGUACUCUGGGGAUAACAGGCUGAUACCGCCCAAGAGUUCAUAUCGACGGCGGUGUUUGGCACCUCGAUGUCGGCUCAUCUCAUCCUGGGGCUGUAGUCGGUCCCAAGGGUAUGGCUGUUCGCCAUUUAAAGAGGUACGUGAGCUGGGUUUAAAACGUCGUGAGACAGUUUGGUCCCUAUCUGCCGUGGGCGUUGGAAGAUUGACGGGGGCUGCUCCUAGUACGAGAGGACCGGAGUGGACGCACCUCUGGUGUACCGGUUGUCACGCCAGUGGCAUUGCCGGGUAGCUAAGUGCGGAAGAGAUAACCGCUGAAAGCAUCUAAGCGGGAAACUUGCCUGAAGAUGAGUCUUCCCGGAGGUUGAACCUCCCUCAAGAGUCGUCCGAGACCAGGACGUCGAUAGGUCAGGUGUGUAAGCGCUGUAAGGCGUUGAGCUAACUGAUACUAAUUGCUCGUGAGGCUUGAUCCU